RNAcentral lists this ribosomal RNA (548 nucleotides) under uncultured soil bacterium. Its description in RNAcentral is "bacterial SSU rRNA". It matches the Rfam family "Bacterial small subunit ribosomal RNA", at positions 35 to 586 of the family's 1533-position model. The record is from RNAcentral.
GUUGGCGGCGUGGAUUAGGCAUGCAAGUCGAACGAAUCCCAUCUGGGCAACUGGGUGGGGGAAGUGGCGAAAGGGGCAGUAAAGCGUGGGUAACCUACCCCGGGGACUGGGAUAGCCGUCCUAACGGACGGGUAAUACCGGGCGAUCUGGCGAGGAGGCAUCUUCUUGCCAGNAAAUGAAUCUCGCCUCGGGAGGGGCUCACGUAGUAUUAGCUUGUUGGCGGGGUAACGGCCCACCAAGGCCAAGAUGCUUAGCGGGUGUGAGAGCACCACCCGCGCCACUGGCACUGAGACACUGGCCAGACUCCUACGGGAGGCUGCAGUCGAGGAUCUUCGGCAAUGGGCGCAAGCCUGACCGAGCGACGCCGCGUGUGCGAUGAAGGCCUUCGGGUUGUAAAGCACUGUCGAGGGGGAGAAAAGCCCGCAAGGGUCUGAUCUAUCCCUGGAGGAAGCACGGGCUAAGUUCGUGCCAGCAGCCGCGGUAAGACGAACCGUGCGAACGUUGUUCGGAUUCACUGGGCAUUAAAGGGCGCGUACGCGGACGGUCAA